Molecule: long non-coding RNA, 728 nt
Filed under: Ananas comosus (pineapple)
Lineage: Eukaryota; Viridiplantae; Streptophyta; Magnoliopsida; Poales; Bromeliaceae
Description: long non-coding RNA (ACOM_LNC019750)
Source: RNAcentral
GCCACACAAUUGGGUCGCCUGCACAUUGUCACCUUCGCUACUUUCGCCACACAAUUGCGUCGCCUGCACAUUGUCACCUUCGCUACUUUCGCCACAAUUAGAGAGGUAUUUUGAUCCCAUCUAAAUAUUUAUCUUUUUUUUUAAUGUGCUUUUAUACUGUUUUAGCAUAUCUUAUUUUAAAAUUUUCAAAUAUAAAACAUAUUUUUUUAGUAAUAUUUUUUUUUUUAUUUUCACCUAUAUCUACAGUAUCUAAUCUUAUCUUAUCAUAAUACUUAUCACAUAAUAUAUAUAGCAUAUCUUUUAGUAAUAUUUUUUUUUAUUUUCACCUAUAUUUUUCUCAAAUAUUUUUAAAUAUUUUUUUAAUAAUAUUCUUUCUUACUUGUCUCCGUUGUGAGCAGGUACAUCGUGAUUGUCCUCCUCAUUAUCAUCAUCAUUGUCACCGGUACAUUGUCGUUUCCGCUAUCUUCGCCACAACUGGAAAGAUAUUUUGAUCCCAUCUAAAUAUUUCCCUUUUUUUAAAUGUCCCUUUAUAUUGUUUUAGCAUAUCCUAUUUUACUAUUUCCUCAUUUUCACCUAUAUAUUUCUUAAAUAUAAAGCAUAUAUUUUUUUAGUAAUAUCUUUUAUUAUUUUUACCUAUAUUUUUCUUGAAUAUUCUCAAAAUUGUCAUCGUCCUCCUCAUCGUCAUCAUCAUCAUCACCGGCGCCGGCACCGGCACAUGCCUUCGCCAC